Molecule: ribosomal RNA, 1498 nt
Filed under: Pseudomonas asiatica
Lineage: Bacteria; Pseudomonadati; Pseudomonadota; Gammaproteobacteria; Pseudomonadales; Pseudomonadaceae
Description: partial 23S ribosomal RNA
Rfam family: Bacterial large subunit ribosomal RNA
Source: RNAcentral
GGUCAAGUGAAGAAGCGCAUACGGUGGAUGCCUUGGCAGUCAGAGGCGAUGAAAGACGUGGUAGCCUGCGAUAAGCUUUGGGGAGUCGGCAAACAGACUGUGAUCCAGAGAUCUCUGAAUGGGGGAACCCACUCAGCAUAAGCUGAGUAUCUUGUACUGAAUACAUAGGUGCAAGAGGCGAACCAGGGGAACUGAAACAUCUAAGUACCCUGAGGAAAAGAAAUCAACCGAGAUUCCCUUAGUAGUGGCGAGCGAACGGGGACCAGCCCUUAAGUUGAUUUGAGAUUAGUGGAACGCUCUGGAAAGUGCGGCCAUAGUGGGUGAUAGCCCCGUACACGAAAAUCUCUUGUCAAUGAAAUCGAGUAGGACGGAGCACGAGAAACUUUGUCUGAAUAUGGGGGGACCAUCCUCCAAGGCUAAAUACUACUGACUGACCGAUAGUGAACCAGUACCGUGAGGGAAAGGCGAAAAGAACCCCGGAGAGGGGAGUGAAAUAGAACCUGAAACCGUAUGCGUACAAGCAGUGGGAGCCUACUUUGUUAGGUGACUGCGUACCUUUUGUAUAAUGGGUCAGCGACUUAUAUUCAGUGGCGAGCUUAACCGAAUAGGGGAGGCGUAGCGAAAGCGAGUCUUAAUAGGGCGUUUAGUCGCUGGGUAUAGACCCGAAACCGGGCGAUCUAUCCAUGGGCAGGUUGAAGGUUAGGUAACACUGACUGGAGGACCGAACCGACUACCGUUGAAAAGUUAGCGGAUGACCUGUGGAUCGGAGUGAAAGGCUAAUCAAGCUCGGAGAUAGCUGGUUCUCCUCGAAAGCUAUUUAGGUAGCGCCUCAUGUAUCACUCCAGGGGGUAGAGCACUGUUUCGGCUAGGGGGUCAUCCCGACUUACCAAACCGAUGCAAACUCCGAAUACCUGGAAGUGCCGAGCAUGGGAGACACACGGCGGGUGCUAACGUCCGUCGUGAAAAGGGAAACAACCCAGACCGUCAGCUAAGGUCCCAAAGUCAUGGUUAAGUGGGAAACGAUGUGGGAAGGCUUAGACAGCUAGGAGGUUGGCUUAGAAGCAGCCACCCUUUAAAGAAAGCGUAAUAGCUCACUAGUCGAGUCGGCCUGCGCGGAAGAUGUAACGGGGCUCAAACCAUGCACCGAAGCUACGGGUGUCAUCUUUGAUGACGCGGUAGAGGAGCGUUCUGUAAGCCUGUGAAGGUGAGUUGAGAAGCUUGCUGGAGGUAUCAGAAGUGCGAAUGCUGACAUGAGUAACGACAAUGCGAGUGAAAAACUCGCACGCCGAAAGACCAAGGUUUCCUGCGCAACGUUAAUCGACGCAGGGUUAGUCGGUCCCUAAGGCGAGGCUGAAAAGCGUAGUCGAUGGAAAACAGGUUAAUAUUCCUGUACUUCCAGUUAUUGCGAUGGAGGGACGGAGAAGGUUAGGCCAGCCUGGCGUUGGUUGUCCAGGUUUAAGGUGGUAGGCUGAAAUCUUAGGCAAAUCCGGGAUUUCAA